This 599-nucleotide unclassified non-coding RNA is filed under the name Hevea brasiliensis (rubber tree). The record is from RNAcentral. Lineage: Eukaryota; Viridiplantae; Streptophyta; Magnoliopsida; Malpighiales; Euphorbiaceae.
GUUGAUUUCUUUUCUGCUCCAACAGAAAGAGAUACAAUUCAAAUAAGAGACUUUAAUAAUUAUUAUAACAGUUCAACUAAAUGCAUUUUAAAAGGAAAUAGCAGAAGAAUUCAUUCAAAAAAACUUAGGACAUUGAGAAAAAGCCAAUGCAAUUAUAGGAUAUGCAGUUGGCAAAUUUUAGUGCAUUCCCUUAUGAGGUGACCAAUAAUGGCAAAUUAACAUAUAUUAUUGUAUUAAAGAAGGCUUUUGGUGGAUACACUAAUGUAAUAAUGUCUGCUUGCUGUCCCUAGUCCUUAACGUGUUGAUAAAUGCCUAAAUGGGACCAAGAAAUGAAGCCAUCAUUCAACAUAAACUAGAAAACAGAAGAAAGGAAUUGGUUGGAUUGCCAUUCUUAAAACUAUUAAAACAGCUUUUUCUUUCCUCCUUUAAAAAAAAGGGGCCUAUUGGAGUUAUUCAAAACAAAGGGGGAAAAUUUAUAUUCAAAAGUCUGAGGCUCCCAGAAACAGCUAGGAAAAAGAAAUAUAAUAUGAAACUUUUGGCCAUAGUUUUUGGAAGGUUACGGAGAUUAUUAUUACCUUUAUCCAAGGAAGAUGGUUGAA